RNAcentral lists this transfer RNA (72 nucleotides) under Camelus bactrianus (Bactrian camel). It matches the Rfam family "tRNA". Rfam says of the family: Transfer RNA (tRNA) molecules are approximately 80 nucleotides in length. Their secondary structure includes four short double-helical elements and three loops (D, anti-codon, and T loops). Further hydrogen bonds mediate the characteristic L-shaped molecular structure. tRNAs have two regions of fundamental functional importance: the anti-codon, which is responsible for specific mRNA codon recognition, and the 3' end, to which the tRNAs corresponding amino acid is attached (by aminoacyl-tRNA synthetases). tRNAs cope with the degeneracy of the genetic code in two manners: having more than one tRNA (with a specific anti-codon) for a particular amino acid; and 'wobble' base-pairing, i.e. permitting non-standard base-pairing at the 3rd anti-codon position. The record is from Rfam by way of RNAcentral. Lineage: Eukaryota; Metazoa; Chordata; Mammalia; Artiodactyla; Camelidae. RNAcentral also lists the same sequence under 2 other names.
GAGAGUAUAGCUUAGCGGUAGAGUGCGUACUUAGCAUGCACAAGGUCCUGGAUUCAAUCCCCAGUACAUCCA